GUCGAUAUGUCGAGUAGUUAAGGAGAUAGACUUGAAAUCUAUUGGGCUUUGCUUUCGCAGGUUCGAAUCCUGCUGUUGACG
This 81-nucleotide transfer RNA is filed under the name Ipomoea nil (Japanese morning glory). It matches the Rfam family "tRNA". From Rfam's summary of the family: Transfer RNA (tRNA) molecules are approximately 80 nucleotides in length. Lineage: Eukaryota; Viridiplantae; Streptophyta; Magnoliopsida; Solanales; Convolvulaceae. The record is from Rfam by way of RNAcentral.